ACGUUAAAGCAACCAAAGAAGUAAAAGUUCUAUUUUCAAUUAUUAACAAUGCAGUUUCUAAUUUUCAGUAUCUUAAUUCUACUUGCAGCUUUUAGCUUUAUUGACGUCUCAGCUGACAGUGCUGAUUCGUCAAUGAACAUUGUAAUGAAUACAUUCAUGCAGGUUUGGUCACUAUUAAAAAAAUUACUAAAUUUAGCCGUCUAGUUCCAGUUUUUUGAAAAAUCCAUUGCAAAACUAAUAUAUUUAAAUGUUUCUAAACAAUCGUAUGGCAAUAUGUAGUUUAAAUUGUAAAAUAAUUGAAUUGGUGUUUUCUUUGUCAUAUUCUUUA
Molecule: long non-coding RNA, 328 nt
Organism: Leptopilina boulardi
Lineage: Eukaryota; Metazoa; Arthropoda; Insecta; Hymenoptera; Figitidae
Exons: 3
Source: RefSeq, a predicted model, not a curated record